RNAcentral lists this long non-coding RNA (9256 nucleotides) under Ananas comosus (pineapple). RNAcentral describes it as "long non-coding RNA (ACOM_LNC023028)". Lineage: Eukaryota; Viridiplantae; Streptophyta; Magnoliopsida; Poales; Bromeliaceae. The record is from RNAcentral.
GAGGUUCCGGAUUGAUGAUUUCCACUAUUAAAUAUGAUCCAAACCAUUAAUUUAAACUAUUUGAAAAUUAAAUUUCACGUUUUUUCGUUAUUAUUCUCUUGUCCAUUAAGUGAAUAAAAAAUAAAUGACGGAAAAUAAAUAUCCUUCAAAAAAGUGAUGGUACAAUUUUUCUAUUCAACAUUUAGAAUCUAGAUAUUGUUUUAAAUAGUUUAAAAAAUUUUCUAACAAAACAUCAACUGAUUUGAAUUCGUUUAUAUCAUUAAACGAGCAAAUGUAUCAUACUAACUAUUAAAAAUUAUAGAUUUUGUGACUUUUUGAUCGUUUGGUUAGUGAUGUUGAAAACUUGUGAAAUUUAAUUUCUCAAUAGUUUAAAUGGUCUAAAUCAUAUUCAACGGUGCCGAUCAUUGAUUUGGAAGUUGUAUCAUCGAAAACAAAUUGGUAAUAAACCGAGCCGUUUACUACUGAUAGUAGCCCAAGCUCACUAUAAGUUUUGCUAGAAUCCUAUAAGUAGUAAACGGCUUGAUUUACUACCAAUUUAUUUUCGAUUAUAGAACUUUCAAAUUGACAAUCAGCACCAUUGCCGAUUGUCCCUAGAGCAAGUGGCAAAGGGUUUGGUGAUUGGUACCCGAGACACAAGUUCGAAUUCUAGUUGAUUCACAUUUCAAGCUAAUUCCACUACAACAGACUUAGAUUAUAGGGACACAUGUUUGGGACACUUUUGAGUAAGUGUCCCAUUUAUGCUAAAACUUAAAAAAAUAUCUACUAAUGCCUAAAUAUAAAGCCCAAUCCAACCAAAAAUAAAAGAUUACUCUACUCAACCCACCACACCCAGUCCAUUUGGCCCGAUUACAAACAGAAAAGAAAAAAAAAAAAGAAAAAUCAAUUGCCAUCUUUUCUUCUCUCUUCACUCAAUCCACUGAAAUUCUAAACGAAGAGCCUUUCCUGUCGUCCUCCUCUGCCACCGCAGCCAAAGAGAUAAAGUUUCGGCGGUUGCUAAAUGCUUAAAUAAGUGUUCGUAAAUUAGCAGCACUCUUUUAGGUUAUAGCGACACUCUUUAACUGUCACUAUAUACCUAGCGACCCCACAUAUAGCAACACUUUUUAAAAGUGUCGGUAAUUUUAGCUAGCAGCACUUUUUUAACAUGUACCUACAUUUAAAAGUGUCGCUAUAGACCGUUUUUGUUGUAGUGUAAAUUUAUUUCUAAAUGAAAUAAAUGAAGCGGGUAGCGUGCUACCUAUCUCUCAAAGAAAAAAGAAAAAGAAAAAGAAAAAAAAGACAAUCAACAGCAUUAAAUAUGAUCUAAACUAUUUAAGCUAUCUGAAAAUCACAUUUCACUCAUUUUCAGUUAUUGUUCUCUUGUCCAUUAAGUGAAUAAAAAAUGAAUGGCUGAAAAUAAAUAUUAUUUAAAAAGUAAUGAUAUAAUUUUUCUAUUUAACAUUUAGAAUCUAGAUAUUGUUUUAAAUAGUUUAAAGAAUUUUCUAAUAAAAAAUUACUCGAUUUGGACUUUUCUAUACCAUUAAAUAAGUAAACGCAUCAUACCGGUCAUUAAAAAUUACAGAUUUUAUAACCCUUUGAUCGUUUGGUUAGUAAUGUUGAAAACUCGUGAAAUUUAAUUUCUAAAUAGUUUAAAUGGUUUAGAUCAUAUUCAACAGUGUCAAUCGUCGAUUUGCAAGCUCUAUCAUCAAAAACAAAUCGCAAGUAAACUGAGGCGUUUACUAAGGAUAGUAGCCUAGUCAAGCUCUAGGCCUAGCUUGUAGUCGGCUUGAUAUUUUAAUGAGCCAGUUUGUAUUUGGCUCGGACCCCACUCGCUUGUGUUCUGCUCGUUGACAGCCCUAGUCACGCCAGUAGCCGCAAUGCAGUCUAUCCUUACUCGAACAGGAGGAUCAAACUGUAUGUAGGGAUUUUUCUUGCGCCUCGGGUAUGUAAAGAAUCUACACUUCUCUCUAUAAGCCCUUCUUUCAUUCAGUGACAGUGGUGAUUAAGACACUAGGCCUAGCCAAGUUUACAUUAAAAAGAACCCUAAAAUUUGGUAAAGGGUCCUCUUAUAUUCCAACACACAAGCCAAUUCGAGCCUUGGGCUUGGAGCCGAGUUCUAAAUUCCCUUAAAACGUGGCACGAAUCAUGGCACGUCCUUAGGAAUACAAAUGCACAAGCAAGGUAUAUAGAUAUGUAGGCAUCAAAACUAUAAUAGUCUAAGCCAAGCGCUAAACCUGUAAGAGCGAGCCAGAGAGAAAGAAUAUGAAAUUGACUACGAAGAAACUAGCAAGUUGUAGAAAUCUAAAUAGCUAAGCUUCUUUCAGACUAAGUCCUGCCCCCGCCCCGAGAAUGCGCGGGGCCCACCCACACGACUUGUCAGAGCGGACGAAACGACAGCUAGCCAAUCGGCGGCCAGGGUUCGCGAUUAGACAGCCGGAUCGCUUUACUGAUUGGGUGGGUAUGUGUUGGAUCAUCAUUAAUCUAGGGAUUAAGAUAAGCAGCGCGUGUUUCGAGGGGAUUGGGGUUAGGGUUGAGUCUAGGGUUUGCAUUGGGAUGCCAACAGUUGGUGAAUGGGAAACAAGGGGGAGGGGUGUCUGGGAUAAGGAUGGCACAAUUUGUUUAAUAUUAAUGGUUUUUGUUUUAAUAAUAAUGAGCUUAAUUUGUCAAAUGGGAGGGUGUGGUGUGUGUGUGUGUGUGUGUGGUGGCAAAAGAAGGGCUUAGGCAUGUGAGGGAAUCAAAUAACAAAGCAUGCGCAUCUUUUUUUUAUUUUUUUCCUCUCCUUUCAACUCAAACACAUUGCCCCAUUUUGUGGACUUAUUAAACAAGUACAAGAUAUGGUGCUUUGGAUCCAAACAACCUUAGUUAGCAAGCUUAUUAUGAGAAUCUCUCUCUCUCUCUCUCUCUCUCUCUCUCUAAAGCAUCAAUCAAUGAUCCUUAUCCAGUCUUUACCUUGGUUUAGAGUAAUGGUCCUCUUGCUUCAAGUGUUAAGUAAUAGAAGAAAGCGUGGCGCCACGUGACCACAAGGGAGAGAUCAUCUCCCACUACAACAAAUUUAUGAUUUAGCGGUAUUUAUUCCGCAGCAUUUAUUUAAAUAACGUUAAUUAAUAUAUUUAACAGCAUUACUUAAUAAGUGCUGCUAGAUUUAAUAAUUUAGCAGUAAUUUACUAUUAAUGUUACAAAAUAAGAUAAAUUAGCAGCAUAAAUUAGUGAAUGCCGCUGAAGUUUUCAGCAUUUUAUAAAAAAAAGACACUAAAUAUAAUAAAGUAGCAACACUUAUUGUUAAAUGCCGCGAUAUUUGCCCCGCAACAUUUAUUUAAAUCAUGCUAAUUAAUAUAUUUAACAGCAUUAGUUGAUAAUUGCCGCUAGAUUUAAUUAUUUAGCAGCAAUUUACUAUUAAUGUUGCAAAAUAGGAUAAAUUAGCAACGUAAAUUAGUGAAUGCUGCUAAAUAUAAUAAACUAGCAGCACUUGUUGCUAAAUAUCGUUACUAAUAAAUAUAUAAUUAUUAAUAUAUCCCUUUUUACUUAGAAUUAAAAAUUUUAAAAUUAAAGUUUAAAAUUCGAAACGUAUAAUUUAAAAAAUUAAACUUAUAAUUUAAAAUUUAAAAUUUUAAAAUUUAUAUUUUAAAUUUUAAACUCUAAAAUUUUUAAUACAAUUCAUAUUUUGCUGGGAACUAAAUUGGAAUUCAUUUUUCAUUCUAACUCACAAGAUCUAGUGAAAGUGCAUAUGGAUUUUAUAUGUAGAAUCGAGAUCACUGGGCGGUCCGCAGCUAGCGGUGGACCAGGUCCAAGAAGUAAUUUUUGAAUAGGGAUUGAGCAAAUUAAGUAUCUGGUCAAGUUGGUCAAGGCACAAUUCAGGUUUACUCUAACCAUAUAUAGAUAUUACAGGGACCACAUUAUGGUUCACUGACGUCCUAAAAAUGAAUGAUCGGAUCCUUCAAUUUAAGAUCAGGGUUAUUGAUCUUUAUCUAUAUAGUGAAUAGAAUUCUUUAUAAAAAAUUCAAUCGAUUUCAAUACUUUUACACCGUUAAACUAGCAAAUAUUCAAUACCGGCCGUUAAAAAUUGUUAAUUUCGAAAUCUUUUCAUCGUAAGAUAAAUGAUGCCAAAAAAUUAUAAAAUUUGAUUUCUAAAAGUUUUAAAUGCUCUAGAUAACAUUUAACGGUAUGUAUCGUCGAUUAGGAAGCACUAUCAUCGAAAACGAUUUAUAAGUACGAAAGCGAUCAUACUCAUAAGAGUAUAGUAUCCGAACUCUUGGAAAAAAUAUACUAGCUAUAAAUUGUUAAGGUAGUAGUAGUGUAUUAUUUGAAAGAAAAAUAAUUUCAGCAUGUGAAAUUAUUUAUCUCCCACACUAAUUUAGCAGGCCUAAUUAUAAUAUAUUGGAUUUGCAUCACAUGACAGCAGUGCUUAAUUAAACAUGUGGAUUUUACGUAAUUGCAUUGGAUUCGCAUGAUAUAGAUAUGCACCGCCUCAUGUACAGCAUGUGUUAAUGAGGGUGUUAAGCACAUAAUAAAUCGUGAUUUAUAUAUAAUGUGUAAAAAUGUCUCAACCUAGCAGCAUAAGCUCUUAUUAGGUUUGAACUCGAGCCUUUUAAUAUAUAUGAAUAUAUGAUCAUAAUUUGACACAUCAUCUGAUUGAUAAUCCAAUAUCAUUCUCCAUACCAAACCCCUUUAUAUGUAUACACACAUAUAUAUAUAUAUAUAUAUAUAUACACACACACACAUACUACCCCACAUCCAAGUCAUAGUUCCUAAAUUCGAUCCCUUCGAGGGGUCACACACUUCAUAUAUAGCAAAGACGUUUUCUCACGUAUGCUACCACUAACUCUCAUCUUCAAUAUUACAAAAAAAAACAAACACACUAUAUGAAGGAAUAUAUAAUAAUUCAAUAAUUAAUUAUCUCACGUUCAUGUGUAUGUAAAAAAAAUAUCCGAGAUAGAAACCAUAAGUAAGACGACACGUUGCAAAUUCCUGCAUAUGUUGUGAACUGGCCCGGAUACAACCUUUUUUCUUUUUUUUGGCACCAUUCCACAUGAUUCCCACUACUCUGACACAAACACACACACACACACACAUAUAUAUAUAUAUGACUACAAAUAUAGCAAUGGAUUAAACUUAACUUUUAAACCAUGCAUAUAUAGUUACAAACCUUGUUGUUGGAUAUAUAUAUUUAUAUAUGGUUGGGACCAUCUCCCGACUCCCAUACAGAUAUUAAUAUCAGAAACAUUACGUGUCCCUCUCUUCAACAUCCAUGCUCAUGCCAAUGUUUCAAGGGGUCCUACAUCCUCAAAAAGGGAGGUAAAAAUAGAAAAAGUGUAUUUAUAAAAAUAUUCUAUAGGAUGCAUCUCAUGUGGGACACGCCUCUUGAAAACCAUGCAUCAUUUGUUUUUGUAAUGUGCGCUUCAGCUAUAUAUAUGUGUGAUUUGAUUCACGACUGUAAUAUCUUGUAGAAAUUUUUGUCGAGGAAAAACUAUAAAGACUGGUUAUAAAUGGUUUAGGCUUGAACAUAUUGAAUAUUAAUAUUAAAAAUAUCAUUCUCUGGUAACUUAAAGUUUUAAAAAAUAACGAUUAUCUCAUUUUAUUUAACAUAGUGUAGAUAGGAGGUCUGAUAUAAUUGAUUUCUUUAAGCUCUUUUUUUUGGAUAUAUCGAAAAAUUUCAAGCCCAGACAUAAGAGAAAAUAUUGAAUAUAAAUAUUAAAGACACCGCAUAUAUAUGAAAAGUUUAAGAACUAGAAAUUUUAGCUGUACACAAACCUUUGUUUAAUUUCAAUCAACUACCUGAUCUAGCACAAACUUCAUCAAUGUAUUAUUACCUAAGCACUGUCAACACAUGGCUAUUAACAUAUGCCAAAAUCCCUUCAAAGUUCUUCACCCAUAUGAGAGGUUACUGCUUGAAUUUAAAAUGCCAGAUGACUAGCACGUACCCUCUUGAAUUAACUUGAUUACUAAUUAUCACUCAAACUUUACACUUGGGCACAUGCACCAAUAACCAAAGAACCAAGAUCAUGGAAAAAGAAGGAAAAUACUUGAGAUACUCCUAGUGGUAAGAAUUUAAAACAAAGUAUAUAUAUGUGAAUCCAGCAAGUGUAAUAUUAAUAGUAUGGAGGCCCUCAGGCUACCAAAUUAUUUUCGAUGAUGGGACUUUGAAUCGACGAUCGACCACAUUAGAUAUAAUAUAUCUUAUUGAAAGUAUCUAGAAACUAAUUUUUAUAAAUUUUAACAUUAUUCACCAUAGAACGAAUAUUCUCAAUAUGAAUGAUUGAAAAUAAAAAUCUUAUAUAAAAUAAUGAUAAAAAAUUUAAAAGUCAGAUCAAAGGUACUGAUCUUGCUUAAAUAGUGAAAAAAAAAUUUAUUAGAUUUGGAUUAUUCUACAUCGUCAAACUUAUGAAUGUAUUACAUCGGCCAUUAAAAUUAUUAAUUUUGAGACCUUUUGGUCAUGAGUCAAAUGAUAUCGAAAAAAAUAUGAAAUUUGGCUUCUAAAUACUUUCACUUAUAUCAUGCCUAACACAAUCGAUCAUUGAUUCGGAUGUUCCAUCAGUAAAAAAUAAUUUGAUAAUACGGAGGCCUCCGUGCUAUUAAUAGUACAUAAGCCAGACUCUGUAUAUAUGUAAUCAUGUAAAUGAAUUUUGGAGCUAAGAAGAUGAUGAAUUGGAUUGUUACAAUGAAUGUGGUCAACCGACGUUGCCACAUCCUGUGACACUAACCAAAUCUUUUACCUAGAAGAACCCUUGAGUUGUAGUAAGAGAGUUUGGUAAGCAAAACCCUACAUGCAUGUGAAAAUGGAGUUAGGCAUUGCUAUUAAUGCACAUAUGGAGCAAAUUCUAGAGAGAGAGAGGUACAGAAACCAAGUAGGAACUUCUAAAACUGGGUGAGGAUAAGAACUUCCACAAAGAAGCAAAAUCAAACCCUUCUUGCAACCUCAAGGGGGACCCCCUCAACUUUCCAUUUUGCUCUCCCCAACCCUCUCCCACCCUUGCAUUUGCUUCUACUUUCUGGUAUGUCCUUUUGCACCAAGACAAAACUAAUGUCGCUUGUUCAACGAAUGGAGUCCGAUAAAAAUCAAGUGUCCUAAUCGAUCAAAACCAACUUAAACUCACGAACAUCAGAAUGAUGAGUCAUCAGCGUGACAUGGGUCGGGGCGGCUUGAACCGACUAUAUAUGUUGGAGGUGAAAGAGUAUAUAUAUCAUGGCUACAUGCAUGAAUCUAGCUCCAUGCACAAAUAGAGCUCAUAAAAGUUGCUUGUGCAUUUGCUUUUAGAAAGCAAGCAAGCUUUUACACAUGCAAUCUUAUAGCACAAACUUCGCUGUCACGAUACCGAAUGUUGUAAUCUUAUUUAUUGGUUAAUUUGUAGCGUCAAUGUGCUUUUCACAUAACACUACAACAGAAUUAGGUUAUAGGGACACAUAUUUGGGACAUUUUUGAGUAAGUGUCCCAUUUAUGCUAAAACUUAAAAACACAUCUACUAAUGCCUAAAUAUAAAGCCCAAUCUAAUUAAAAAUAAAAGAUUACUCUACUCAACCCACCACACCCAGUCCAUUUGACCCGAUUACAAACAGAAAAGAAAAAAAGAAAGAAAAAUCAAUUACCAUCUUUUCUUCUCUCUUCACUCAAUCCACUGAAAUUCUAGACGAAGAGCCUUUACUGUCAUCCUCUUCCGCCACCGCAGCCAACGAGAUAGAGUUUCGGCGGUUGCUAAAUGCUUAAAUAAGUGUUGGUAAAUUAGCAGCACUUUUUAGGUUAUAGCGACACUCUUUAACUGUCACUAUAUACCUAGCGACCCCACAUAUAGCAACACUUUUUAAAAGUGUCGGUAAUUUUAGCUAGCAGCACUUUUUUGACAUGUACCUACAUUUAAAAGUGUCGCUAUAGACCGUUUUUGUUGUAGUGUAAGUUCUAAGUUAGGAGAGUUAUAGUAAACCAACAAUAUAAGUUUCAAGGACUUGCUUGUAAAGCUUUAUUUACUGGCGUAAUCUCACUAUUGUGGGCUAACCUAGGCUAGUUAAGAAUUGUGCAUAUAGGGGAGCUCCCUAUAUAUAUAUAUAUAUAUAUAUAUAUAUAUAUAGAGCUAGGCUCCUAUGCUUUCGAAAGUACAGAAGCCUCCGUACUUAAAAGUUGUUUUCAAUAAUGGGACAUCCGAUUCAGUGAUCGGUUCCGUUAGACAUGAUCUACGCUAUUGGAACUACCUAGAAACCAAAUUUCAUAAUUUUUUUACUUUGUUUGUCUAGUAAACGAGUAGCCUCAAAAUGAACGGCUGAAAAUAAAAAUCUUAUAAAAAACAGUGAUAAAGGACUCAAAUUUCAAAUCGGAAGUAUUGGUCUUUCUAUUGAUAUUAAGUAGAAUUUUCUAUUAAAUUUUCAUCUAAUUUGGAUACUUCUACACCGUUGAACUUAAAAACGUGCCACAUCGGCCGUUAAAAUAGUCAUUUUUGAGAUUUUUCGAUCGCUUGGUAAAUGAUGUCAAAAAAUUAUAAAAUUUGGUUUCUAAAUAGUUCCAAUAGGGUAGAUUAUACUUAACGGAACCGAUCGUCGAAUCGGAUUUCCUAUCAUCGAAAACAACUUACAAGUACGGAGGUCUCCGUACUUUCGAAAGUACAGAAGACUUACUCUAUAUAUAUAUAUAUAUAUAUAUAUAUAUAUAUGGAUUGAUAAUGAAUAAAGCGAUGCUAUAAACUAGGCUGCUUGAGUUUUAUCUAUUAGCAACCUACACAGAAUUAGUUAUAGCGACACAGUUUGAGACAUUUUCAGUAAUGUCCCCAUUUAUGCUAAAACUUAAAAACACAUCUACUAAUGCCUAAAUAUAAAGCCCAAUCCAACCAAAAAUAAAAGAUUACUCUACUCAACCCACUACACCCAGUCCAUUUGGCCCGAUUACAAACAGAAAAGAAAAAAAAAAGAAAAAUCAAUUACCUUCUUUUCUUCUCUCUUCACUCAAUUCACUGAAAUUCUAGACGAAGAGUCUUUACUGUUGUCCUCCUACGCCACCGCAGCCAACAAGAUAGAGUUUCGGCGAUUGCUAAAUACUUAAAUAAGUAUUGAUAAAUUAGCAGCACUCUUUUAGGUUAUAGCGACACUCUUUAACUGUCACUAUAUACCUAGCGACCCCACAUAUAGCAACACUUUUUAAAAAUGUCGGUAAUUUUAGCUAGCAGCACUUUUUUAACAUGUACCUAUAUUUAAAAGUAUCGCUAUAGACCGUUUUUGUUGUAGUGUAGUAAAUAAAUUCUUUUUUGGCAAAAGAUGUAACAUUAAUAGUAUAAUUUAGGAAAGUAGAUUUAAGAAGUGAUUA